This is a long non-coding RNA of Phyllostomus hastatus (greater spear-nosed bat), 492 nucleotides long. RefSeq lists it as uncharacterized. The transcript is spliced from 2 exons. The record is from RefSeq and is a predicted model, not a curated record. NCBI's taxonomy places the organism in Eukaryota, Metazoa, Chordata, Mammalia, Chiroptera, Phyllostomidae.
CAGGCGCUCGCUCGCUCGCCCGGCGGUGCCGGGGCACAGACAGAGGAGCCGGGGGAGAGCCGGGUGUGUUUUAAGGGUGCUGCUCCCACCCCCAACCGUCCUCUGCGGGCAGAGCCUCUGCUCACACCUGAGGGAACAGGGAGGUUAUUAGGUUGGUCACACAUUAACCAACCGGCUGGUGGCUACACCAAGGACUCCGCUCCGGUCCUUCCGAGGUCAGAGUGCGAGCGGGCUCAUGAAAACUCAGUGGGCGCCUGCUGUGCCCUCAGAGCCCAGCUGGAGCCGGGAAGGAGCAGGUGGGACGCGUGGCCUGUACCCCGCAGGUCUAAGACACCGGUUCCAGAACCAGGAGGGUGGAAGAUUUCUUAGGUCCCUACGACCCACGAAGGACGGCGGUCACGACCAAGGCUGAUCGUGUGAUGACGACUGAUGCUGGUUUUAACCCACACGCACAAAGAUAAGCACGGACAAAUAAAUGGGGCGUAAGAUAAA